Molecule: unclassified non-coding RNA, 240 nt
Filed under: Hevea brasiliensis (rubber tree)
Lineage: Eukaryota; Viridiplantae; Streptophyta; Magnoliopsida; Malpighiales; Euphorbiaceae
Source: RNAcentral
CCACGAGCCGUUGCUGGCGAAGGAAGUUCACGUCCACCCCGGACCGGGCGCACGACCGAAGACCAUUCCGCCGAAGCCGGCGAAAGUGGCCAAGGCAAAAGCAUCGCGCGCAAAGGCUCCUGCGGCUUUNNNNNCAGUCACGUCCACCCAUAGAAACAAAGGCGCCAGAUAUUUUUUGGCGCCUUUGCCGUUAAGCACUCUUUUUUGAGGUGUAGUGGCCAGCGAAGCGCUGGCGCAGUG